UCAAUCCUUCAGGGCAGGGUGUAAUUCCCUACCGGCGGUGAUGCUGCUGUAUAUGGCCGAAAUGCCAGUAUCAGCGCUUAGUCCGCUACCCGCUUCGUAUGUUGCAUACGGACGGUGGACCCGGUGUAAUUCCGGGACCGACAGUAUAGUCUGGAUGGAAGAAGGAGAGA
This 170-nucleotide non-coding RNA is filed under the name Paenibacillus sp. RNAcentral describes it as "FMN sequence". It matches the Rfam family "FMN riboswitch aptamer (RFN element)". Rfam says of the family: The RFN element is a highly conserved domain that is found frequently in the 5'-untranslated regions of prokaryotic mRNAs that encode for flavin mononucleotide (FMN) biosynthesis and transport proteins. Lineage: Bacteria; Bacillati; Bacillota; Bacilli; Caryophanales; Paenibacillaceae. RNAcentral also lists the same sequence under 1 other name. The record is from RNAcentral.